CCUACGGGUGGCAGCAGUGGGGAAUAUUGGACAAUGGGCGAAAGCCUGAUCCAGCCAUGCCGCGUGUGUGAAGAAGGCCUUCGGGUUGUAAAGCACUUUCAGUGGGGAAGAAAGCCUUGGGGCUAAUACCCUCGAGGAAGGACAUCACCCACAGAAGAAGCACCGGCUAACUCCGUGCCAGCAGCCGCGGUAAUACGGAGGGUGCGAGCGUUAAUCGGAAUUACUGGGCGUAAAGCGCGCGUAGGCGGUCUGAUAAGCCGGUUGUGAAAGCCCCGGGCUCAACCUGGGAACGGCAUCCGGAACUGUCAGGCUAGAGUGCAGGAGAGGAAGGUAGAAUUCCCGGUGUAGCGGUGAAAUGCGUAGAGAUCGGGAGGAAUACCAGUGGCGAAGGCGGCCUUCUGGACUGACACUGACGCUGAGGUGCGAAAGCGUGGGUAGCAAACAGGAUUAUACCCUUGUAGUC
Molecule: ribosomal RNA, 463 nt
Filed under: Vreelandella stevensii
Lineage: Bacteria; Pseudomonadati; Pseudomonadota; Gammaproteobacteria; Oceanospirillales; Halomonadaceae
Description: partial 16S ribosomal RNA
Rfam family: Bacterial small subunit ribosomal RNA
Source: RNAcentral